GAUCAUGGCUCAGGAUGAACGCUAGCGGCAGGCUUAACACAUGCAAGUCGAGGGGCAGCAUAAUGGAUAGCAAUAUCUAUGGUGGCGACCGGCGCACGGGUGCGUAACGCGUAUGCAACCUACCUUUAACAGGGGGACAACACUGAGAAAUUGGUACUAAUACCCCAUAAUAUCAUAGAAGGUAUCUUUUAUGGUUGAAAAUUCCGAUGGUUAGAGAUGGGCAUGCGUUGUAUUAG
Molecule: ribosomal RNA, 236 nt
Filed under: uncultured bacterium
Lineage: Bacteria
Description: partial 16S ribosomal RNA
Rfam family: Bacterial small subunit ribosomal RNA
Source: RNAcentral